This 498-nucleotide ribosomal RNA is filed under the name Triticum aestivum (bread wheat). RNAcentral's name for it is "partial small subunit ribosomal RNA". Lineage: Eukaryota; Viridiplantae; Streptophyta; Magnoliopsida; Poales; Poaceae. The record is from RNAcentral.
AUGUGGCAGUUAUCGCAGGAUGCGGUGCUGACCAGAGAUGUGAUUAAGCGUCGAGGGUGGAAAGGGGAACCCAAGUGCUCGUUCUGUGGGGAGAGAGAGACCUCCCAACAUCUUUUUUUCACAUGUCCUGUUGCUAGGGUUACCUGGAGAGUUGUGGGGUGCAUGUUUGGUACUGAGCUAUGCCCUGACAAUUUGUGGUAGGCAUAUGUGUGGUGCUAUGUUUUCCUUGGGGGGGGGGAUAUCUUUUAUACGGCCGGCAUUGCAGCUAUAUGUUGGGCUAUUUGGACUUGUCGUAACAGAGUUACUUUCGAGCGUAUUCCUCUAAAAUCUCCAUUUGAAUGCAUCUUCUCUGUGUGUGCUCUUUUAUGUUAUUGGGCAGGUAUGAUGAAGCAGGAGGACGUAGCGGCUCUGAGAACUAGAGGAGAACUGCUGAAGGAUGAUGCGUCUCUUUUGAUGAGGAUCUACGCUACAGCUUAUCAGGACAAGGAAGCCUGCUGA